This is a long non-coding RNA of Ictalurus punctatus (channel catfish), 1532 nucleotides long. RefSeq lists it as uncharacterized. NCBI's taxonomy places the organism in Eukaryota, Metazoa, Chordata, Actinopteri, Siluriformes, Ictaluridae. The transcript is spliced from 2 exons. The record is from RefSeq and is a predicted model, not a curated record.
UCUGUAUUGAUGAAACAUAUGUUGGACAUAGUCCUAAACAUUUUAGAGGAUUUCUAAGCACGUUUUGUACUUUUUAGUUUAACGUGUUAGAUCUUAGAUGUAAUGUUUUCAUUUUUUUUUUUUUCUGUUCGGAAUGAAUGCUCCUCGUAUAUGCCAACAGAGAGAGAACUUUAUAUAGGCGUAAGAGUUAUUUCGUUUUAAAAGUAACGCGUCGGUCAUGCACAAUAUGUGCACAAUAUGCACAGAAGCUUCUGCAUUUAGGGAUAACCAAAUAAUCAAAAUAUUACGAUCCAGAACUGCACCACUCUAAUGCAAAGUCAUUUCCAGCAGGAACUGAUGAGACCAACAAUCUCACCAAAAUGGCUGGGAAAGUUUUAGGGGGAGGAGCCACAGUGCCAAAAAAGCCUGGAGUUAGUGAUGUACUUGAGAAGAUGGAUCUGAAGAGAAAAGUGAGAUCACAAAGAAAUCUUUUUUUUCGUAUUGACAUGGUGGAAGGAUUAGCCACUCAGCAGUAUGAUACUGAACGUUGCCCAGGGUGCGCCAGGGGAGGCUCCUUCUGUGCACACACAUUCACACACUACGGACACUUUGGACACGCCAAUCAGCCUACUGCACAUGUCUUUGGACUGGGGGAGGAAACCCCCGCAGGACGGGGAGAACAUGCAAACUCCGCACACACAGGGCUGUGGUGGGAAUCGAACCCCCGACCCUGGAGGUGUGAGGCAAACAUGCUAACCACUAAUCCACCGUGCGCCCCAUCACAAACAAAUGGGAGAAAGCAGAAGCAGCACUGUGCCAGAUUUUCUGGAGCGCGAGGAAGAAAAAGAGGAGGAACGAUUACGAACUAAUGACCUCUACCAGCAACAGGGUCCUUGACCACUCUGAAGAGUGGUCAAGGGCCACACAAUAUUUUUUAAAUUUAAUUAUUUAUACGUUUCCAGACAGCAGAUGUUAUAUUUAUUAUCAAAAUGGUUAAACUUCUCUCCCAAAAGCAUGCCCAGAUGUACGUGUCAUGGAAAAAUCCCUCCAACCAAAGUAAUGAGAAAAAAAUAAAAAAUUUAAAAAUUAAAAACUUCCAGAGACCAGCAGCUAUGGAUGUCAAAAAAAGAGAAACUUUAUUUAAAACAAAUAAAGUGAGACAUUCUGCAGAAAGUCUGAAUUAUACACACACACACACACACACACACACACACACACACACACACACACACAAACAUGUCUUUUCUUUCUAAAAACAAACCAAUCCCCAUUGUCUUAAUGAAUUAUUCUUGUCUAUACGAUAUCUUACAUUUCUACCACCUUAAAGACUUUCUGGCUUUCAUCCCAGCUCAAUACACCAAAAAUAAAUGGUGUUUUCCAGGCCUCAGAGUCGCCUUAAUCGGAAGAGCGGUUUCGAGAAUUCGAGAAUUCAACUCUCGUACUGUUUCUUGUUGGGUUGGGGGUUUAGCUGCAAAGCUUAUGUAGAAUUCAUUCUAAAACUUGCCCUUUCAGUUGUCUCCUUCCCUCAAACAGCAGCACACUCGCAGCCAUGG